Molecule: ribosomal RNA, 288 nt
Filed under: Staphylococcus epidermidis NIHLM049
Lineage: Bacteria; Bacillati; Bacillota; Bacilli; Caryophanales; Staphylococcaceae
Description: partial 16S ribosomal RNA
Rfam family: Bacterial small subunit ribosomal RNA
Source: RNAcentral
UUUUUAUGGAGAGUUUGAUCCUGGCUCAGGAUGAACGCUGGCGGCGUGCCUAAUACAUGCAAGUCGAGCGAACAGACGAGGAGCUUGCUCCUCUAACGUUAGCGGCGGACGGGUGAGUAACACGUGGAUAACCUACCUAUAAGACUGGGAUAACUUCGGGAAACCGGAGCUAAUACCGGAUAAUAUAUUGAACCGCAUGGUUCAAUAGUGAAAGACGGUUUUGCUGUCACUUAUAGAUGGAUCCGCGCCGCAUUAGCUAGUUGGUAAGGUAACAGCUUACCAAGGCAA